UUCCCUUAACUUGGGAUCUUACUUUAAAGAAUUAAAAAUAACAGCAAUAAUUAUCCACCCCUUGAUUUAGAUAUACCAGUUACAUGGAAAACUCUACAACAUAAUUUACGACAAAAGGGACGAUUGUUUCGUUCCCUAUAGUUAUUAUUUUGGGCUGGUGAUGAUUCUUUGAUACAAUCUUAUAUUGUUUAUAUAUCGCAACUCGUUUGCUAAGCCCGUAUCGCAGUGCCAUUUUGGAUUUCAUUGAGAGUAAUUCUAUAUAUGCUUUCGAAGUCCCGAAGUUCAGGGGUUUCGUUACCACAAAAUUUGUAGUCCAGUACUAAAUUCUGCCGUGGAUACUAAGAUUUUGUUUUGAUCUUUAGCUGUCCCUGUAUACAUUUUAUUUCAAGCGAAAUAGCACAUCCUUAUUUUUACGGUGGCCAAGUUGUGAAAAUUUAGAAACGAUCCGGGUAAACUUAUCGUUCUAUUACAGUGACUUGACUGUUAGUGUUGUUCUCCACCAAUUGAAACUUAUUCAAAAUUCUGACCAAAUUGCAGUUUUUUUUAAAUUCAAAUUGUUCAACUGGCCAGACAUUUGAACUAACUGCUGUAGAAAACCACACCCAAGUCAUGAGGGUGCAAGGUGAUAUAAUAUAACAUACUUACCAUCCUAUAAGACUUUUUUUUUUUUUUUUUUUUUUUUUUUGAAGACUUGCACUCCACUUUAAUGAUGUUGUGACAAAAUCAUAAGAAUCAGA
RNAcentral lists this long non-coding RNA (737 nucleotides) under Mytilus galloprovincialis (Mediterranean mussel). Lineage: Eukaryota; Metazoa; Mollusca; Bivalvia; Mytilida; Mytilidae. The record is from RNAcentral.